UAUGCACUUGAAUAAGCAAUCUCCUCUUCCUGACUUUACAGGUUUGUUAUGACAGAAAAAGACCUUCAUGAAUCAGCUCAGCACGCAGCAUUCCAUGAGUCAGUUGGCAGGAUUCACAAGAUGAGGAAAGAGAGGUCAUCAUAUGCAUGUGUUGUGGAGAGAGAAAUCUUGAGACAGUGCUUCCUGAUGAGCAACAUCAAAAAAAGGAAGAAAGAACCAUCCCAGGUAGGAUUUUUGUAUGUUUACAUAUUAAAGGAAUACUCAUUCAUUGAAAUGAUCUUUUUUUUUUAAAUUUUUCAGCCAUGCCACAUAACUCAUUUUGUGGCCAGUAGUUGAUGCCAUGCCCACACACACACACACACACACACACACAAUCUGGAAUACAAUGUGAAAACUAAGCAAACAAAACAAAUCCCCAAUAGUGCAAUUCCAUCAACAGAUGAAUGGAUCAAGAAGAUGUGGUAUAUAUACACAAU
Molecule: long non-coding RNA, 476 nt
Filed under: Mustela putorius furo (domestic ferret)
Lineage: Eukaryota; Metazoa; Chordata; Mammalia; Carnivora; Mustelidae
Description: lncRNA (ENSMPUG00000024661.1)
Source: RNAcentral